CCACAACAGUGCAGGUAGUCAUUUAGCCAGAGCAAAGACCGUCACGGUGUCGUCAUUUGGAACAUUCCAGCCUCCACGUUUUGAACUUUCAAGAAGAGAAACUCAUAAAGACAGCCGAAACAAAGAUUAGACAUGGCAGCUCAACUGACACAGGAGCAGAUCGCUGACUUUAAAGAGGCCUUCUCUAUGUUCGACAAAGACGGUGUUAUCACUAUAAAGGAGCUGGGGACUGUCAUGAGAUCGCUGGGUCAGAAUCCAAAUCAAGCUGAACUUCAGGACAUGAUAAACGAGGUAGACGCGGACGGAAACGGAACCAUAGACUUCUCAGAAUUCCUCACCAUGAUGGCGCGGAAGAUGGGGGAAACCGACUCAGAGGAGGAGAUUAGGGAAGCAUUCCGGCAUUUCGAUAAGGAUUGCAACGGCUACAUCAACCGUUCGGAGCUUAAGCAAGUGAUGUCCAACCUGGGAGAGAAGCUGACAGAUGAAGAGCUGGAUGAGAUGAUCCUAGAGGCCGACAUUGAUGGAGAUGGGCAGAUCAACUACGAAGAGUUCGUGAAGAUGAUGAUGUCAAAAUGAAAUGGUUCAGAGAAACACAAGGCAGACACAUCUCUCGCCAACUUUUUCACAGACAUGACAGACCAACUGACAGAGGAGCAGAUCGCUGAGUUCAAAGAGGCCUUCUCUUUGUUCGACAAGGAUGGGAAUGGCAACAUCACCACAAAGGAGCUGGGGACUGUCAUGAGAUCGCUCGGUCAAAAUCCAACUGAAAAUGAACUUCAGGAUAUGAUAAACGAGGUUGACGCAGACGGAAACGGAACCAUAGACUUCCCAGAAUUCCUCACCAUGAUGGCCCGGAAGAUGAAGGACACCGACACGGAAGAAGAGAUUAAAGAAGCAUUCAGGGUCUUCGAUAAGGAUGGUAACGGGUUCAUCAGUGCUGCGGAGCUGCGUCACGUGAUGACCAACCUGGGAGAGAAGCUGACAGAUGAAGAGGUGGAUGAGAUGAUCCGAGAGGCUGAUAUAGAUGGAGAUGGACAGGUCAACUACGAAGAGUUCGUGAAGAUGAUGAUGUCAAAAUGAAGCAGUCAAUCACACAAGGCAGAAACAUCUAUCGUCAACUGUUUCACAGACAUGGCAGACCAACUGACAGAGGAGCAGAUCGCUGAGUUCAAAGAGGCGUUUUCUCUGUUCGAUAAGGAUGGGAAUGGCAACAUCACUACAAAGGAGCUGGGGACUGUCAUGAGAUCGCUGGGUCAGAAUCCGACGGAAGGUGAACUUCAGGACAUGAUAAACGAGGUUGAUGCAGACGGAAACGGAACCAUAGACUUCCCAGAAUUCCUCACCAUGAUGGCGCGGAAGAUGAAGGACACCGACUCAGAAGAGGAGAUUAGGGAAGCAUUUAAGGUUUUCGAUAAGGAUGGUAACGGCUACAUCAGUGCUGCGGAGCUGCGUCACGUGAUGACCAACCUGGGAGAGAAGCUGACGGAUGAAGAGGUGGAUGAGAUGAUCCGAGAGGCUGACAUCGACGGAGAUGGACAGGUCAACUACGAAGAGUUCGUGAAGAUGAUGACUUCAAAAUGAAGCAGCCAAUCAGUUCAUCAGCUAUUUCAUAGCUUUCUAUUAGAAUGAUUGGCACUUAGUUGGACGUUGUUGUUAUUUCAAUUACACUCUUCAUAGCACUGUUACUCAGUUGUCAGAUUUAGUGCUUGAACGGUAAAAUGUAUUUUCUUUUCAGUAAAUUCUUCGUUAUUUCUGCAUUAGAACUAUUGUCAAAAAAUCUAUAAUAGCAUGGCAUAGUAGAAUUAACUAGUUAAAGGCAAUUAAUUCAUCGUGUUUGUUUAGCUGAUAUAUAUAUCUGACACGCGCUUUUCUUAUUGUAUUGUGUGCCUAAUCAUGAAAAUACUGUUUUCGAUUAAAGCAAAUAAAGUGUAGCAUGGGAAUGG
RNA transcript from Branchiostoma floridae (Florida lancelet), 1943 nucleotides. It is a transcript of the gene named calmodulin-like protein 12, with no coding region annotated. The record is from RefSeq and is a predicted model, not a curated record. Lineage: Eukaryota; Metazoa; Chordata; Leptocardii; Amphioxiformes; Branchiostomatidae. The transcript is spliced from 16 exons.